UACGGAGGGGGCUAGCGUUAUUCGGAAUUACUGGGCGUAAAGCGCACGUAGGCGGACUGGAAAGUUGGGGGUGAAAGCCCAGGGCUCAACCCUGGAACUGCCUUCAAAACUCCCAGUCUUGAGGUCGAGAGAGGUGAGUGGAAUUCCGAGUGUAGAGGUGAAAUUCGUAGAUAUUCGGAGGAACACCAGUGGCGAAGGCGGCUCACUGGCUCGAUACUGACGCUGAGGUGCG
Molecule: ribosomal RNA, 232 nt
Filed under: uncultured bacterium
Lineage: Bacteria
Description: partial 16S ribosomal RNA
Rfam family: Bacterial small subunit ribosomal RNA
Source: RNAcentral